RNAcentral lists this ribosomal RNA (2100 nucleotides) under Triticum aestivum (bread wheat). RNAcentral describes it as "partial small subunit ribosomal RNA". The record is from RNAcentral. Lineage: Eukaryota; Viridiplantae; Streptophyta; Magnoliopsida; Poales; Poaceae.
AUGGGUUGCAGGCACUCCAAAGUGGAGGACGAGGAGGCGGUGAGGAGAUGCAGGGACAGGAGGAACCUCAUGAAGCAGCUCGUGCGCCGCCGUGUCGACCUUGCAGCCGCACACAUUACCUACUUGCAUGCACUCCGCAACACAGGAGCCACUCUCCGGCAAUUCGCCGAGGUGGAGACUGCAUCGUCACACCAGUCCCUUCAAGUCGCUGCCUCACCACCUCCUCCCCCUCCGCCGCCGCCGCCGCCGCCACCACCACCACCGCCUCCGGCAUACUCUGUGACUUCUUCCAUGCCACCAUACUCGGUGACAUCCUCAAUGCCGCCAUCACCACUACCCCCACCACUCAUACCGUUUAGUCCGAUAAGGAUAAGAAAGAGGGAGAAGAGAGAUGGUGAUCUCGACGGGGAUGAUUCCACGGAUGAAGACGACGACACUGACAGCUGCUCGACGCCUCUGCCCCCGCCGCCGCCGCCCGGUAUGGAGUGGGAGUACACGGACCCAAUCACUAUGCGUCCCUUGGAUUUUCUUCCAUCUUCGUUGGCUGAUCGGGACGAUAAAGAAGUGGCCUCACAAGUCAGCAUGGAUGACGAUUGGGUGGAAACGAACAUAGAAUUUGAUGGACAGGAUGAAAGCGUCUCUGGCAAUGCUGAUGGCAUACUUAGGCGUGUGGAAUUGCAUCCAGCAAAGAGUAGGGUUAUGGGUGAUGAAAACUCAUCAAUGAUGAGCAGCUGGGUAACAAAGGACUCGAACUCUUCGGUGAUGGCCUGGGCGACUGACAAGUCACUGGUAGAAAUAGCCAAGGAGAUUGAUGAGUACUUCUUGAAAGCAGCCGCAAGUGGGACUGAUGUUGUUAUACUCUUGGAUUCUGCUACCGGCCGGCUAGAUCCCUCAGAGGUGCAAGUAAAGAAAGGAAAAAAUUCGAAGUCUGCCAAGGUUUUCUCUACACUUUCCUGGAGCUGGUCAUUCAAGUCUGUACAUGCUAACAGGGAAUCCUCAAGUGAUGCUUGUGGAUACGGUUAUCAUGGCAAAACACUAGAUAAGCUUUAUGACGAGGAGCAAAAACUCUAUCAGUUAGUUAAGGAUGAAGAAUUUGCAAGGCUUGAAUACAGAAAGUACAGUUCAUUGCUAAAGAAGCUAGAAUCAGGGGAGCAUGAUAGGUUGCAGGCAGAGAAAGUUCGGGAAAAUAUCGAAGAACUGCAAACUCGGAUAAUGUCCUUAGAGGAAGCUGUAAGCUUGACAUGUUUGACCAUAUCAAAGCUCAGGGAUGAGGAGUUGUAUCCUCAGGUUAUUGAAUUAGCUGCAGGGCUUGUGCAUAUGUGGAGAAACAUGUACGAGUGCCAUGAGGUUCAGAACCAUAUUGCCCAGCAAGCCAGUCUCCUUGGCAACCAACCUGGCAGUGAGCCGACAACUGACUCCCAUUGCUAUGCAACAUCUCAGUUGGAAGGCGAAGUCUCUGCAUGGCACAAUUCCUUCUGCAAUCUGAUCACCUUGCAGCGUGAGUACGUAACCAUCCUUAACGAAUGGAUUGGACUCACCGAUUGCCUGCCUGAUAAUGAGGGCUUCAUGAGAAGUUCAUCUGGAAUCCGUAGCCUCUGUGGGGAACUCGAGCAUGCUCUUAAGAAGUUACCUGAGAAGGUAGCUGCAGAAGCAAUAAAAGCUUUUCUGUCAGUCAUACACUCUAUCGUGUUACAGCAGGCUGAGGAGCGUCAGCUGAAGAAGAAAUCAGACAACAUCGAGAGCAAGUUCCACGCCCAGUUGGAGAAACACAGCGAAAACGCAAUGCAGAGCUCAGACCAGGGUUCGCACACCAGGAGCUACUCAGUGUCGAAGGACGACCCGAAGCUGGACGUGUUCAGAAAGAGGGUCGAGGAGGAGAAGGCCAGGUACAUCAACUCCUUGAGGACCAGUCGAGCCAUGACGCUGAACCAUCUUCAGACGAGCCUUCCGAACGUGUUCCAUGCCCUGACGGGGUUCUCAGGAGUAUGCGUGCAGGCGUUUGAAGGUAUCAGCCGAUGCAGCGAAGCUGCUGCUGCUGCUGCUAGCCACCCGGGAGCGGUUUCGCCAGCCGUCUCUUCCUGUGAUGAUCACCCGCUGUAA